UUGUGAUUCUGAAUAGGCUUUGGUGGCGACAAAAAUGGCGAACUCAGCCGCUGUGGCUACCUGGAGAAGUUUUAAAUGUACGACCUAACAGCUUUCUAGAUUAUCUAAGAUGCGUCAUUUCUGAAAUCCAUGAAACCGAAGUUGAGUUUGGAGUUUUACCUGAAGUGAAGAUUGAAGACGUGAUAGAAGAUGGACGACUACUGCUAUGCUAAGAUGGCGACGUCAUGUAAAAAAGAAACUGAAAGAGAAUCAGCGCCACCAACUUCCAGCAAAUCACCAACGGAGAAAGCGACGAAAAGUGCAGAUAAAAAACAGCGUCUUGAAGUUUCCAACAACGCGAUUCUGGAGGCUAUCAUCAACCCUGAAAAGACCGUCGCUGAGAUAAUAGCCGAUCUUGUUGAGCAAGUCAAACAAAGAAACGCCAUGAUUGUCAGCUUGAAGAAGGCAGUGGAGUUCACAUCAGCGGAGAUGAAAGAAUGCAAAAGUCAAAUGAAGAAAGUGGAAGAGCAGAACAAGCGCUUGUGUAAAGAAAAUGAUGAUUUGAAAGAAGAGAUGUUGUGGAAGAGUAAGAGAUGUGCAGUGUGUGAAGAGAAGACUGGACCACAUGUCUACAUCAACCUGCAGAGGACUGCAGAUGUCCAGCAGCCGAUUGGUCAUCCAGAAGAACUUUCUUCCCGGUCGCUGGGGGGGAGCUCCACUUUAAAGCCGGGAGCGUCACAGCCCCCCCACGUUAAAGAGGAAGAAGAUGAACUUUGGAUCUCACAAAAGGGAGAGUGUCAUCUAGGACUGGAGGAGGCGGAUCUCACCAAGUUGCCACUGACAGUCGUCACUGUGAAGACUGAAGAUGACGAAGAGAAACCACAAGCAGACAACCUUUUAGCGCCGCUCUCACAUAGUGAGGCUGAAGAUGAGGUUGAAGAAACUUUGAGCAGCGACACAGACUGUGAAGUUGAUGUGAGGAUGGACAGCAAACACCGCAAAGAUAAGACAGAAAAAAGUUGGAGCUGUUCAUUUUGUGCCAAAAUCUUUACUAAAAAAAGCAAUUUAACUUACCACGUGAGAACACACUUGGGUGAGAAACCAUUUAGUUGUUCAAUUUGUGGUAAAAGCUAUGCUCAAAGGAGCAUUUUGUCUGACCACAUGAGAGCGCACACUGGAGAAAAACCGUUCUGCUGCUCCGUUUGCGACAAGAGCUUUUCACAGAAGAGGUAUUUGACCGAACACAUGAGAGCACACACAGAAGAAAACCCAAUUAAGUGUUCAGUUUGUGGCAAAAGCUUCACUAAAAAUAGCAAUUUGACCCAACACAUGAGAACGCACACGGGGGAAAAACCAUUUAACUGCUCAGAUUGUGGCAAAAGCUUUUUUUCCAGAGCUGGUUGGACCCGACACAUAAUGAAACACACUGGAGAAAAACAAUUUAGUUGUUCAGUCUGCAAUAAAAGAUUCCUGUAUAAUGCAGACAUGGUACGACACAUAAGAACUCACACUGGAGAGAAACCAUUCAAAUGUUCAAUAUGCGGUAAAUGUUACACUCAAAGUGGAACUUUGUCUCAUCACAUGAGAACACACUCGGGAGAAAAGACAGGGAGUUGCUAAAUUUGUGGUAACUGAUUUACCCAUAAUUCAAUUAUGGUAGCACAAGUAACCUUUUAGUAGCGAAAACUUCAAAGACUUCUUAAAGGCCUACUGAAAUGAGAUUUUCUUAUUCAAAUGGGGAUAGCAGGUCCAUUUUAUGUGUCAUACUUGAUCAUUUCACGAUAUUGCCAUAUUUUUGUUGAAAGAAUUUAGUAGAGAAUAUCCACGAUAAAGUUCGCAACUUUUGGUGCUGAUAAAAAAGCCUUGCCUGUACCGGAAGUAGCAGAUGAUAUGCAUGUGACAUCACGGGUUGUGGAGCUCCUCACAUCUGAAUAUUGUUUACAAUCAUGGCCACCAGCAGUGAGAGCGAUUCGGACCGAGAAAGCGACGAUUUCCCCAUUAAUUUGAGCGAGGAUGAAAGAUUCAUGGAUGAGGAAAGUGAGAGUGAAGGAUUCGGGAAAAAAAAGACUAUACAGUGGGAGCGACGCAGAUGUUAUUAGACAAAUUUACUGGGAUAAUUCUGUAAAAUCCCUUAUCUGCUUAUUGUGUUACUAGUGUUUUAGUGAGAUUAUAUGGUCGUACCUGUACAACCUGAAAGUCGGCCUCGCACCUUUCUUCAGCACCAGUCGACGGGUAUUGGCGAUGCCCAUCUCUGCCCUUCGCAAGGGACCCUUUUCGAAACACGAUCUUUCGAAAUGAUCGCUGCAUUAUACACUGUACUUUGUGUCUGUGGUCCAAUCCAACCGUGUUCGCUUGACCGCUCUGUUCCAUAGUAAAGCUUCACCAUAGUCUUUUGGGAACUGUCACGUUCGGUGCGCAUUGCGAUGCGCGGAGGUGUCAACUCAAGAUGCAUGGGACCAGACAAGCAAGUUAGCAGGUAGGAGCUGGAUUUAAUUUAUAAAAUGACAAAAGAACACUGACGCAAAUACAAAAGAAAGCGCGUGCAACGCACGGGGAGCUAGGCUAACACUAGCCCUGGGUAAAAGUCCAAAAGCUGCGCGUGUCAUGCGCCCAAAAGCUAAGGUGGAACUUAGCAAGCCAAAAACAGGACCAGAUAAACGAACGUGCAUGUUGCAUUAAGCCAGUGAAGAACUCAGGCAGAACAAAGGUAGUAGGCAGGUAUAAAUACAGAAACGGGUGUCAGUGCAGGUGGAACAAAUGAAGUCGCUAUGGUGACGAAUACAAACAAGGAAGUGCUCAAAUAAUGGGAUCGGCAGAGUCCAAAAUGUGAUCAAAACAUACACAAAAGCAAACAACAAACGAUCCAUGUAGUGGAUCGUAACAGGAACGUAAACAAUGAAACACCGGCUGUGUUUGUGUUGCUAAAGGCAACACAAUACACCGCUUCCCAUCUACAGCUUUCUUCUUUGACGUCUCCAUUAUUCAUUGAACAUAUUGCAAAAGAUUCAGCAAAAGAUGUCCAUAAUACUGUGUAAUUAUGCGAUGAAAACUGACUACUUAUAGCUGGGAACGGUGCUGGAACAAGAUAUCCUCUACAAAGCGUCAUCAUACCGCGACGUUUUAGCAUGAUACUUCCGCGCGAAAUUUAAAAUUGCAAUUUAGUAAACUAAAGCGGCCGUAUUGGCAUGUGUUGCAAUGUUAAUAUUUCAUCAUUGAUAUAUAAACUAUCAGAAUGCGUGGUCGCUAGUAGUGGCUUUCAGUAGGCCUUUAAUUGUGAAGUCUUCAAUACAUCCAUCCAUUUCCCACCCAUUUUCUACCGCUUAUUCCCUGUUGGGGUCGCGGGGGGCGCUGGCGCCUCUCUCAGCUACAAUCGGGCUGAAGGCGGGGUAGACCCUGGACAAGUCGCCACCUCAUCGCAGGGCCAACACAGAUAGACAGACAACAUUCACACUCACAUUCACAUUUAGUGUUGCCAAUCAACCUAUCCCCAGGUGCAUGUCUUUGGAGGUGGGAGGGGCCUAUCCCCAGGUGCAUGUCUUUGGAGGUGGGAGGAAGCCGGAGUACCCGGAGGGAACCCACGCAUUCACGGGGAGAACAUGCAAACUCCACACAGAAAGAUCCCGAGCCUGGAUUUGAACCCAGGACUGCAGGACCUUCGUAUUGUGAGGCAGACGCACUAACCCCUCUGCCACCGUCAAGCCCUUCAAUACAUCCAUCCAUCCAUUUUCUACUGCUUGUCCCUCUUAUGGUAGCAGAUCAUAGCUGCAAGUCGGGAUCUAAGACAUACAAUUUUAGGGUUCGACACAUGCUGAAACACACACAAAAACCCUUCCUUGAAUUUGUAGUAAGAGGUUCUCUAAACAGGGAGUCAUUUUAGCACUCAUGAGAUCACAAAGGGGAAGAACCUUUUAAACCUCUCACUGCUGUCUUGGAGCCACUAUGGAUUGAACUUUCACAGUAUCAUGUUAGACCCGCUCGACAUCCAUUGCUUUCGGUCCCCUAGAGGGGGGUGGUUGCCCACUUCUGAGGUCCUCUCCAAGGUUUCUCAUAGUCAGCAUUGUCACUGGCGUCCCACUGGAUGUGAAUUCUCCCUGCCCACUGGGUGUGAGUUUUCCUUGCCCUUUUGUGGGUUCUUCCGAGGAUGUUGUAGUCGUAAUGAUUUGUGCAGUCCUUUGAGACAUUUGUGAUUUGGGGCUAUAUAAAUAAACAUUGAUUGAGUGAUUGAAAUGAUCCGUUCGUGGCUAAGGUUAUUGGUGUAAGAAAUGACUGCUCCUACACAUGCAGACACACAAUGGAAAAAUCGAAAUUCCCGUCAGAUUAUUGCACAAUGGAAGUGUGACGUCAUAUUUAAGAAGUCACCCAAAAAGUGGUCCCAGAUUAUCUCAUAAGUGAGUCGUGAGGAGAGAAGCAGCUACACAAAUUUGAUGGGUUGUUUGUGAGUAAUAUUACAUAUUCCAAAACAAAAUUAAGUGAGAACCUUUUACACAGAUUUUCAAUAUGCUGGAGAAAACACAACCAUAAUCAUAGUAUAGAUAUAUGUAGUUAUGUACAUGUGCUGGCGAAGAAGUGGUCUUAUAAAGCAAAACUAAAAUACCGUUUUUCAAAAUGGCUCCUGACUUGUCUAAUUUAGUACUACUGUGGCUGGGGAGUGAAUAAUACUGUUGUGGUAUUUAUAUUUAUUUUAGAUUAGAAUAGAAUAGACGUUAUUGUCAUUAUAUUUGCAUAUAACGAGAUUAAAGACUCCAACUGAAGGUGCGGUUGUGGGAACAAAUAUGGGGGAAAAUAAACAACACAAGAGGGAAUAAAGGAAAAACUAACAAUUGAAAUAAACAGACUAUAUUAGUUUAGGAUAGUUGGGGCGGCAUAGCUCGGUCGGUAGAGUGGCAAGGCCAGUAACUUGGGGGUUGCAGGUUCGAUUCCCGCUUGUGCCAUCCUAGUCACUGCCGUUGUGUCCUUGGGCAAGACACUUUACCCACUCGCUCCCAGUGCCACCCGCACUGGUUUAAAUGUAACUUAGAUAUUGAGUGUCACUAUAUAAAGUGCUUUGAGUCACUUGAGAAAAGCGCUAUAUAAAUAUCAUUCACUUCACUUUGGUUUAGCAUUUGAAAUAAAGCAAAAAAAAAAAAAGAAUCUAAUCAAAUCCAAGAAAUAAGCACACAUUUUAAGAAUAGAUCCAAAUAUCGAUGUUAUUGAUACCAAUGGCACCGUAGGUACCAGAUCGAUACCCGAGUGAUGAUAUCGAUAUUUUUCACAAAUAGUUUAAUGGUCAUGUUGGAUAUGCAUUUUGUGUGACUCAAAACUUUAUGUGGUGAAGGAGAAUAAGGGAACACUUUUAUUAUUUUGUUUAUUGUAUUAUUUUGUAUAUUGUCCUGCAAAUGCUGAUUAAAAUAAAUAUUUGAUUGCCAAAA
RNA transcript from Nerophis ophidion (straightnose pipefish), 5387 nucleotides. RefSeq lists it as uncharacterized. NCBI's taxonomy places the organism in Eukaryota, Metazoa, Chordata, Actinopteri, Syngnathiformes, Syngnathidae. The record is from RefSeq and is a predicted model, not a curated record. The transcript has 3 exons.